CUGGAAUGUCUGCGUCAGCCACAGCCAGAUGGGAAGCACAUCCUGUUGGGAAAGUGUUUUGGGAUCCAACGCUUGGGCACAAUACAGGGCAUCUGGAGAAACACAGAAACCUCAGUUACCUGUCUUGCUCUGUCGCCGAGACUGGAGUGCGGUGGCAUGAUGUUGGAUCACUGCAGCCUCUACCUCCCAGAGCAGGAAUCAUCUUCAUCAUCGUGAUCACCGUUGUCCUCGUCGUCAUACUCUUCUCUGGCUAAGAGCAACGUUUCCCUGAUAUACUGAAUAACAGAGGCCCUUCAUGCAAAAUUUCCAAAUAAUGUCACCGAACAGGACUGCUGCAGCAAGUGGCUAGUGCUGGAGAGGGUGUGCUGCCUUCGUGGGACCGUUAUUCGAUGACCAUAUUUCAACUUGGCUGGUGUUGAAAUGUGAGAUAAAGAAAA
This is a long non-coding RNA of Callithrix jacchus (white-tufted-ear marmoset), 437 nucleotides long. RefSeq lists it as uncharacterized. The record is from RefSeq and is a predicted model, not a curated record. NCBI's taxonomy places the organism in Eukaryota, Metazoa, Chordata, Mammalia, Primates, Cebidae.